This 251-nucleotide ribosomal RNA is filed under the name uncultured bacterium. RNAcentral's name for it is "partial 16S ribosomal RNA". It matches the Rfam family "Bacterial small subunit ribosomal RNA", at positions 524 to 776 of the family's 1533-position model. The record is from RNAcentral.
UACGAAGGGGGCUAGCGUUGCUCGGAAUCACUGGGCGUAAAGGGUGCGUAGGCGGGUUUUAAGUCAGGGGUGAAAUCCUGGAGCUCAACUCCAGAACUGCCUUUGAUACUGAAGAUCUUGAGUCCGGGAGAGGUGAGUGGAACUGCGAGUGUAGAGGUGAAAUUCGUAGAUAUUCGCAAGAACACCAGUGGCGAAGGCGGCUCACUGGCCCGGUACUGACGCUGAGGCACGAAAGCGUGGGAGCAAACAGG